This 253-nucleotide ribosomal RNA is filed under the name uncultured bacterium. Its description in RNAcentral is "partial 16S ribosomal RNA". It matches the Rfam family "Bacterial small subunit ribosomal RNA", at positions 524 to 776 of the family's 1533-position model. The record is from RNAcentral.
UACGGGGGGAGCAAGCGUUGUUCGGAUUUACUGGGCGUAAAGGGCGCGUAGGCGGCACCGCAAGUCGACUGUGAAAUCUCCGGGCUUAACCCGGAAAGGUCAGCCGAUACUGCGGGGCUAGAGUGCAGAAGGGGCAACUGGAAUUCUCGGUGUAGAGGUGAAAUUCGUAGAUAUCGAGAGGAACAUCGGUGGCGAAGGCGGCCUUCUGGACGGUGACUGACGCUGAGACGCGAAAGCGUGGGGAGCAAACAGG